This 475-nucleotide ribosomal RNA is filed under the name uncultured bacterium. RNAcentral describes it as "bacterial SSU rRNA". It matches the Rfam family "Bacterial small subunit ribosomal RNA", at positions 28 to 507 of the family's 1533-position model. The record is from RNAcentral.
GAUGAACGCUGGCGGCGUGCUUAACACAUGCAAGUCGAACGGAGAAAGGGUAGCUUGCUAUCUUUCUUAGUGGCGGACGGGUGAGUAACGCGUGGGUAACCUGCCCUUUGCAGGGGGAUAACAGUGAGAAAUCACUGCUAAUACCGCAUACCAACUUCUUUCGCAUGAAGGAAGUUUGAAAGAUUUAUCGGCAAAGGAUGGACCCGCGUUGGAUUAGCUAGUUGGUGAGAUAACAGCCCACCAAGGCAACGAUCCAUAGCCGGCCUGAGAGGGUGAACGGCCACACUGGGACUGAGACACGGCCCAGACUCCUACGGGAGGCAGCAGUGGGGAAUAUUGCACAAUGGGCGAAAGCCUGAUGCAGCGACGCCGCGUGAAGGAUGAAGGUCUUCGGAUUGUAAACUUCUAUCAGCAGGGAAGAAAGGGCUUAUAGCCUAUGACGGUACCUGACUAAGAAGCCCCGGCUAACUACGUG